RNAcentral lists this ribosomal RNA (253 nucleotides) under uncultured bacterium. Its description in RNAcentral is "partial 16S ribosomal RNA". It matches the Rfam family "Bacterial small subunit ribosomal RNA", at positions 524 to 776 of the family's 1533-position model. The record is from RNAcentral.
UACGAAGGGUGCAAACGUUGCUCGGAAUUAUUGGGCGUAAAGCGCACGUAGGCGGCAUUGCAAGUCGGAUGUGAAAUCCCUCGGCUCAACCAAGGAAGUGCAUCCGAAACUGCUGUGCUUGAGUACUUAAGAGGAUCGCGGAAUUCCCGGUGUAGAGGUGAAAUUCGUAGAUAUCGGGAGGAACACCAGUGGCGAAGGCGGCUUCCUGGCCUGUUCUUGACGCUGAGGCGCGAAAGCUAGGGGAGCGAACAGG